GAUGAACGCUAGCGGCAGGCCUAACACAUGCAAGUCGAGGGGUAACAGGGAAGCUUGCUUUCGCUGACGACCGGCGCACGGGUGCGUAACGCGUAUGCAACCUACCUCAUACUGGAGGAUAGCCCCUGGAAACGGGGAUUAAUACUCCAUAGUAUCACGAAUUCGCAUGUUUUUGUGAUUAAAGUUUUUCGGUAUGAGAUGGGCAUGCGUCCCAUUAGUUAGUUGGUAAGGUAAUGGCUUACCAAGACUUUGAUAGGUAGGGGUCCUGAGAGGGAGAUCCCCCACACUGGUACUGAGACACGGACCAG
RNAcentral lists this ribosomal RNA (308 nucleotides) under uncultured bacterium. RNAcentral's name for it is "bacterial SSU rRNA". It matches the Rfam family "Bacterial small subunit ribosomal RNA", at positions 28 to 334 of the family's 1533-position model. The record is from RNAcentral.